UCUUAAGAGAAGUGGACAUGGUCUUAAUGUUUUUUCCAACGGAUUCGCCAGAGAAAACCUACGUGUUUCAUCGUAUUAUAAUCAAUAAGAUUCAAGGUGAAGCUUUGCACGUCGUUCGAACUCUUGGCCCCUCACCAACAUGGAUAGAAAUAUUCCGACGGACACAAAGCAAAUAGUACAUAUGGAUGUGUAUACAAAUUCCAAAUGAAAUUUCUUAACCUUUAUAGACCGUUUUUCGAAAUUUGCAACAGCUUUUUAUCUGGAAGAUCGUAAUAAUCAAACGAUAAUCGAAAAAUUACGACAUUACAAAUCCCAAAGAGGAAAUUUUUAUAAAAUUAUAACUGAUAAUGAGUUCAAAAGCGUUAAUAUAAAAGAUUUUCUUAAAACCGAAAACAUAGAUUUACAUUUUGUUAAGCCAAAUAACCACACAGGCAAUAGUGACAUUGUGCGACUCCAUAGUAUAUUAACGGAAAAAAUAAGAAUUUUGUAUAUUGAAAACAAAGAAUUAAGCAUAAAAGAUAAAAUGAGUAAGGCUGUAGAAUUUUAUAAUAAUAGCUGUCAUUCUGUUACAAGAUAUAAACCAAUCGAUGUUGAAUAUGGGAAUUGUAAUAAAAAAUUUAUUUAUGAAAAUAUUUUAAAAUUUAAAACAAAUUAUCUUAAAAAAAGAAAAAAAAUAGAGAAAUAUUUAUGGAUAAUAGGAAAGAAGAAUAUAUCAAAAACUAUAAAUCUUUACGACAUAAAAAUGAACCUAAGUUUAGAUUUAAUAAUUUACAAAAUGUUCAUAGUUCAAACAUAAAAAGACAACUGAAAUUUGAAGGAAAACAUCAAAAUCUCAUUUAAUUUAUUUAAAAUAAGUAUUAAACUCAGGAGAGUUUUAAAUUUAGGCGAUGGAGAAAUUAUGUAUGUAAACAUGUCUACAAAAAUUAUGUUUAUAAACAUUGUAUAUUAUGUUUCACUUAAGUUGCCGACAACAUUUUCCUAUUUUCUUUAAGCUUUUUAUUCUUAUUACAAUAACUGUUACGAUUCUCUCGAACUAAAAUUACAAUAAAUCAUUAAGUUUUGAUCACUCAUCGGAAUCGGUUGUUUUAAUACACAUAACUCGCGCGA
Long non-coding RNA from Bactrocera neohumeralis, 1107 nucleotides. RefSeq lists it as uncharacterized. NCBI's taxonomy places the organism in Eukaryota, Metazoa, Arthropoda, Insecta, Diptera, Tephritidae. The record is from RefSeq and is a predicted model, not a curated record. The transcript is spliced from 2 exons.